GGAGUGAUUUUAAAGGAUAAUUUAAUUAUUUUUACUAUCCUUUUUAUAGUGAAAUUAUUUAAAGAGAAAGGUUUACAAUUUUGAAACUUUCAUAAUAAUAUAAAUAGCAUUAACCUUAUAAAAAUAUAUAUGAAUAUGAUAAUAAAUUAGUUAAAGUAAUUACUUUUAUUUUAACUCUUCUUCAAGAAUGUCAUCAUUUCUUUUAUUUUCCUUAAAAAUAAAAACAAAAAAGCCAAAAACAAAAGAAAAGAAAACAAACAUUAUUAAUUCAUUAUUGUACAUUUAUACUUGUAAAUAGAAGGUGGACUCGAAGAGUCUGGAAGGAGAGCGAGAGAGAAGAAGACGAUGACGACUCGAAUAGCUCCGGGGGUCGGAGCGAACCUGCUCGGCCAACACUCUGCUGAAAGGGACCAAGAAGCCACCGUCUACGUCGGCAACCUCGAUCCUCAGUAUAAAGCCAUUCUGUGUUGCAUAAGUUACUAGUGGUUGUGAUUACCGGAUAUCCUUUUUCAUAUCAAAGGUAACUGAAGAGUUACUGUGGGAAUUGUUUGUUCAAGCAGGCCCUGUUGUUAAUGUUUAUGUCCCCAAGGAUAGAGUCAUGAAUCUUCAUCAAGGAUAUGGCUUUAUUGAAUUCCAAAGUGAAGAAGAUGCCGACUAUGCUAUAAAAGUUCUAAAUAUGAUUAAACUUUAUGGGAAGCCCAUACGAGUGAAUAAGGCGUCCCAAGAUAAAAAGAGCUUGGCUGUUGGAGCCAACCUUUUUGUUGGCAAUCUUGACCCUGUAAGAUUGUAGAUUUUUGAAACUACUUGCUCAAACCUA
Cornus florida is the source of this 817-nucleotide long non-coding RNA. RefSeq lists it as uncharacterized. The transcript has 6 exons. The record is from RefSeq and is a predicted model, not a curated record. NCBI's taxonomy places the organism in Eukaryota, Viridiplantae, Streptophyta, Magnoliopsida, Cornales, Cornaceae.